Long non-coding RNA from Manis pentadactyla (Chinese pangolin), 3704 nucleotides. RefSeq lists it as uncharacterized. The transcript is spliced from 4 exons. The record is from RefSeq and is a predicted model, not a curated record. NCBI's taxonomy places the organism in Eukaryota, Metazoa, Chordata, Mammalia, Pholidota, Manidae.
GAUCCCCCAGAUUACAAUGUAUCUCCUGGUGCUCACAGGUAAGUGGCUUUGUUCUGCCUGAGUGGGACCAAUCUGUGAAGGCUCUUGCGGAGCAGCAGACUUGAAUCAGAGAAUACUUUUCUUGUGCACCCUAAGGAAAUUCUAUUAGUAUUUCCUAAGUUUCUCUAGAAGAUAAAAUGUAGGGUCAUUACAUGGAUCUCACCCUCACUCCUUCUUUCAAAGAAGUAUUCAGAAUCGACUAAGUUACCCCAGGUUUCCUGCUUUUUAUCUCUUAGAAGAGGACUGGGGUUUGGGAAGCAUCUCUCUGUGCUACAACAUGAAGACUGUGAAUGGCCAAAUGAAUAUGCUUUCUGGAGAAAAGAGACCUUGACUUUGGUUCUGUAUCCACCCAGUGAGAUCAGUAGCAGCAGAGUGAAGAAUAAUGGCGCUCCAUCACUGGCUGAUACUGAUGUCACACAUUUCCCUUCCACUGGACAUUUUAAAGGGGACUCGAUGACAUGGAUGCAUCAGCUGAAAAGAGGUCUGCUGGAAACCCUAGUCUGGAUCUUUAUUUGGUCCUGCAGCCAGAAAGCUGUUUGCAGAGCUUUUGUGAAUCAUGCCCUUUGUGAACAACAAAGUCCAUCCUCCUUUCAUGGACUUUGACGAUGGAGAGUAUAUUGAGCCGAAGAGCUGCACCUGUCUUCCAGGUAAAAGAACUGCAAUUUCCAAGCACACAGAGGUACCAGUUGGAGUGUUGGUGCUGAUUGCCUUGCUCCACAGCUGCGCAUCUUCACAGGUGAAGGCCAGGACUUUCCCAUGGCAAUUUUAGCAUAUUGUAAUUGUUCCAAGAUGUCCUAGAAGCUCCCUGCAUUUCUCUAAGGCUGUAACCCAGUCUGACAGACUCUCUUGGUAGGCACUGUGCACAGAUCACCUUAUCCCCAACCCUUUCAUGUGAAAGGCUGCCUGGGGAGACAGAACAUAAAGCAUUCCAUCAGACCCUGUGCUCCUGUGAGAGCGACACACUGACUCAUAGUCUCUUGGUUUUAUAACCCCAAUUACCCUUAAAGGAUAAUUGGGUUUUAAUUUAUGUCCCAGUUUUUAUGUCACAAUCAAAGAAAACUGAAAUUUCGGUGAGUUGUAAUUAUCAUCAGCUGUGCUGUGGAAACAUUCUGAUGUGAGCUCUCAGUUUCCAAUAGGGAAAGCAAUUUCCUGAAGUGAUUACUGUAUACUUCAGUGUGGAGAAUGGUCUAUAUUUCUGGGUAGGGUGAGCCAGCCACAGAGCAGGGCAAUAAUUCCUAGAGAAAUGGCUAUUUUCUUUGCUAAUUCCAGGAGUCAAUAUGAAAGCGAAAUGGCAAUAAAUGUGCCACAUGAUUACCUUUUAAUAACUGAGGGCUGUACCUGUUUAGGAAAAGAGAAAUGAAUGCCCCUUUUUAUUACUAGAGAGUCCAAGGUGGUAGUAAACCUAAUCUCAGGAAAAGUUCAGGUCAUGAAGUCCCACUGGAGAGAAAGAUACAGGGUCAUUCUAAAAUUACUGAAUGAUUAUGUAGUCUCCUGCCUGAACAAUCUGACAGUUAGCUAUGGGAAUUGUGUGCCACCAAAAUAGCUAACUGCAAGGAUGCGCUCAUCAUGAGAACAUCCACUCCUGGAAAUUCAGAGAUUCACAGUUUCACCUUUUGCAUGUGUAAUGCCUAUGGGAUAUAAAUAACUCUCCCCUAAAACCUUCUUCUUGAGUAACAUAUUUGCAUAAAGCUGCAGCCUCACAAGACUUCUGACACCUUUCUUAAAAAAAAAAAGUUGUUCAUCUUAAAGAACAGGCAGAUUGAGAUUUAUAGGAAGGGGUGGGCAGGUCCCAGUCCCCACUCUUUUUGUUCAAGCCAUGUUCCCAGCCUUCCCCUUGCCAACAGCAGAGAAGCUCAUACACCCGUUUGCAGUAGGGUGUAUUUACAAUUUAUUUCAUUAAUGUGUUUGCCAACCCCUAGGAAAAGCUCCAAAUGGAUAUUUGGAGGUAAGGGGACUUUGGGAUCAAGUAAAGGGUAUGGUCUAAGGUUCUAGGGCCACCCACCAGGCAAAGAACUACGGGAACUCCUGGAUGUGUCUCUCGGAUCAUGGUUUGUGGGGAGGGUUGGUCUGGGAUAUAUUCUCCUUGAGAUCAAGAGCUUGUCAACUCAGAAUGUGAAACUCAGAGGAAAAGGCUGGAGCUCAAAAGUACAAUAUGCUGCUGAACAAGGGCGCCAAUGUCAGCUCCAAAAGAUCCGCUCAGAAAGAGCUCUGUUAGUCCUCAGAAAGAUCUUCUAUAGCUCACAGGAGCUGCUUUCAAUCCUUAGAGGAGCAUUUUCCCCACAGCUAGGAAAAACAGUAAUAGGGAGAAGAAAUCCUCUCAUUAAAGAAAUCAAUGCCUUCUUUUCAACAUAAACUUGGAUCUUAUUUCUUCAAAAAUGUCAAAAGGGCAAAUACUGAAAACAGUCAGAAGCAAAACCGUUCUGGUUUUGGGAGCAAAAGAAUUCUUCGUAAUGGCAGACGAGGAAUCACUGCAUGGGGCGAGUAUGGCUUCGUGGAAUGAGAGAACCUGAGGGCUCACCACAAUUGCUCCAAGUUGAAGAUAAAGUGGGGAAAGAAAACACCAGUUCCAAACGUCAGGGGUAGCACCCACGUCCGCGCUUUCCUUUGGAAUCGAAAAAUGUGCGCGCCCCCUAGUGGCCUUUAGGGAAACCGCCGGCGCGAUCUGAACCGCAGGUGUGUGAGUUCGGGAGGAGUGGGGUGUUUGGAACAGCUCUCAAUUCAAAUACACUUCGAGCUGCACUUAUCUUUAGUUUUAAUAAUCCUUUUAAAAUAGAUAAGCUAGGUAUUUGAUUCACGGUAGUGUUUAUAGGGGGAAAGGUGCUAAGAGGAGAAAGAUGAUGAUGAACUUCAUGGGGGCGUGGAUCUCUUUUCUGUGGCUACAGUCCUAAUACUUAACCCCUGGUGCAGGCUCAUUUGUCAGAUCUUUCAUUAUGAUCCAUUCAAUCAAAAUCUGGAAAAUAAAUGAUGAUAAUGGCAAACGAUUUCAUAUAAAAAAAAUAAACUCUCCAAAUGUGAAAUGUCUACCUUCUUCAUGGGGAUGGCAUCAGGGGAUAGAAAAGUGACUUGCUCAAUGAAACAAAUUUAGGUGCUGGAAACUGGAUCACAAAUCCAGUCUCCUUGUCCGUUCUUCACUCUCUCUACCGCAUCAGUGUUCAAAAAUGUAGGCCUUAACACUGAUGGCCAAAGACACAGCACUGAAGAAUCACGAAAGUGUGGCAGUAGUUCCCUUUUCGAUUUUCUUUCGAUCCUGCAUUUACCAAGAAGAAAGUCUUGGUUUGGUACUAGCCUGUCUUCAGCGCCUUGAACUAACACUUGCUAAUCUCCCUUUUUGACAACAAUAAAAAGAUUCCCCCAAAACAAACAAAAACAGACUUUAAGGCCAAAGUCUUUACAUGCAAUGAUUUGAUCCAGAAUUUAAUAAAACUGUUUUGUUUUAAAGAAUAACUUAUGUAGGACAAAUGACGCUUUUUUUUUUGAAAUUCAUAUUUUAAAGCUUAGUUUAAAAAUACAUGUAACUUGCUUUUUAAAAAUCAAUUUAAGAAAUAAAUAUUUUUAAAGCAAGCAAAUAAUAUUACAGGCAGUCAACAGUUGCGACACAAAAAAUGUGUAAUUGACAUUUGAAUGUCUGAUAUUUGGAAGUCACUGCAUAUAACAUGCCAUAUGUU